This 497-nucleotide ribosomal RNA is filed under the name uncultured bacterium. Its description in RNAcentral is "partial 16S ribosomal RNA". It matches the Rfam family "Bacterial small subunit ribosomal RNA", at positions 29 to 507 of the family's 1533-position model. The record is from RNAcentral.
AAUGAACGCUGGCGGCGUGCCUAACACAUGCAAGUCGAGCGGACAGACGGGGAGCUUGCUCCUCUGCCGUUAGCGACGGGCGGGUGAGUAACACGUGGAUAACCUACCUAUAAGACUGGGAUAAGUACGGGAGACCGGAUACAAUACCGGAUCAUAUGUUGAACGGCAGGGAUCAAUGGAGAAAGAGGGAUUUGAUGUGUCUAAGAGAUGGUUCCGCGCCGGAUUAGCUAGUUGGUAAGGUAACGGCGUACCAAGGCGACGAUGCGUAGCCGACCUGAGAGGGUGAUCAGCCACACUGGAACUGAGACACGGUCCAGACUCCUACGGGAGGCAGCAGUAGGGAAUCUUCGGCAAUGGGCGAAAGCCUGAUCGAGCCACGCCGCGUGAGUGAAGAAGGUCUUCGGAUUGUAAAGCCCUUUUAUUGGGGAAGAACAGCAGUAUGUUAAUCCCUGGCUGUUUUGACGUUACCUAAAGAAUAAGCACCGGCUAACUUCGUG